AGAUGACCUCUUCAUGAAAGUUGUCGUUCAGGGAGGGGCCCGCGUACCAUUAGCUUGUUGGUGGGGUAAUGGCCCACCAAGGCAACGAUGGUUAGCUGGUCUGAGAGGAUGAUCAGCCACACUGGAACUGAAACACGGUCCAGACUCCUACGGGAGGCAGCAGUGAGGAAUUUUGCGCAAUGGGGGAAACCCUGACGCAGCAACGCCGCGUGAGUGAAGAAGGCUUUCGGGUCGUAAAGCUCUGUCAAGUGGGAAAAAAAGCUCUCGAUUAAUAGUCGGGAGACCUGAUGGUACCACUGGAGGAAGCACCGGCUAACUCCGUGCCAGCAGCCGCGGUAAUACGGAGGUGCAAGCGUUGUUCGGAAUUACUGGGCGUAAAGAGCGUGUAGGCGGUUUGGCAAGUCAGAUGUGAAAGCCCUGGGCUCAACCCAGGAAGUGCAUUUGAAACUGCCAUCCUUGAGUAUGGGAGAGGAGAGUGGAAUUCCCAAUGUAGAGGUGAAAUUCGUGGAUAUUGGGAGGAACACCCGUGGCGAAGGCGACUCUCUGGACCAAUACUGACGCUGAGACGCGAAAGCGUGGGGAGCAAACAGGAUUAGAUACCCUGGUAGUCCACGCCGUAAACGAUGAGAACUAGGUGUAGCGGGUAUUGACCCCUGCUGUGCCGAAGUUAACGCAUUAAGUUCUCCGCCUGGGGAGUACGGCCGCAAGGCUAAAACCCAAAGGAAUUGACGGGGGCCCGCACAAGCGGUGGAGCAUGUGGUUUAAUUCGACGCAACGCGAAGAACCUUACCUGGGUUUGACAUCCCUUGACCGUCUGGGAAGCCAGAUUUUUCCGACUUUGUCGGAACAGAGUGACAGGUGCUGCAUGGCUGUCGUCAGCUCGUGUCGUGAGAUGUUGGGUUAAGUCCCGCAACGAGCGUAACCCUUGUCUUUAGUUGCCAUUAUUAAGUUAGGCACUCUAAAGAGACCGCCUCGGUUAACGGGGAGGAAGGUGGGGAUGACGUCAAGUCCCCAUGGCCUUUAUAUCCAGGGCUACACACGUGCUACAAUGGGCUGUACAAAGGGUUGCUAGUCUGCGAAGAGGAGCUAAUCCCAAAAAGCAGCUCUCAGUUCGGAUUGGAGUCUGCAACUCGACUCCAUGAAGUUGGAAUCGCUAGUAAUCGUGGAUCAGCAUGCCACGGUGAAUACGUUCCCGGGCCUUGUACACACCGCCCGUCACACCACGAAAGUCGGCUGUACCAGAAGUUGCUGGGCUAACCCCCUUGGGGGAGGUAGGUACCUAAGGUACGGUCGGUAAUUGGGGUGAAGUCGUAACAAGGUA
This 1321-nucleotide ribosomal RNA is filed under the name metagenome. RNAcentral describes it as "bacterial SSU rRNA". It matches the Rfam family "Bacterial small subunit ribosomal RNA", at positions 202 to 1498 of the family's 1533-position model. The record is from RNAcentral.